RNAcentral lists this long non-coding RNA (3321 nucleotides) under Nicotiana tabacum (common tobacco). RNAcentral describes it as "long non-coding RNA (NTAB_LNC007218)". Lineage: Eukaryota; Viridiplantae; Streptophyta; Magnoliopsida; Solanales; Solanaceae. The record is from RNAcentral.
AACAAAUAAAAUAAAACAUAUUCCUUCUUCCCAAUCUCUCAUCUAACGUGAACAAGUAAAGCUGGAGAGUACUAGUGAAGAUUCUUUCACAACCUAUUUAGUAAUCAGGUAUGAUAUCUAGUUCAUCCCUACAAUAUGGUUCAUAAAUUAACUCACACAGAUUUUAGAAAUUCAAUGAUAAUGGUGGUAAAAAAUAUAAUAAUAAUAAUUAAGAAUUUAAGUUUAUAAGGAGUUAUAGUGGAACUUGAUUAUUACUUGACAAGAUCAUCAAAAAUAGUCAUUAAGUGAAUUUGUCAAAAUGUCGUAACUCGGCGAGGGAAUGAUUCGCAUGUGGACUUUUUAGAACUGGAUAUUUGCUCUUCUUUUAUUUGUUUAGUAAUUAAUAGAGACAGUUAACAUCUCUUCAUUGUCCUUUAGCUUCGGGUGAAUUUGUACUUAGUUUAGCAAGAAGUUAAUUUGGAAAAAUAAUUAAUAUAUUAUCAUGGCAAAAAUCAUUUGAGUUUGCUGCCAGGUUUAAGAAUUGGGAAAAGGAUAAGAACUAUUAAAAUAUUAGAGAUAACCCUUCCCGCUAGUAGUUAGAUAAAACUUUCAAGUAUACCGGAGAAUCAUAUUCAGAGAAUUCACAAAUUAGAGGACUUUAGCAAUCUUCUUAAGUGAGUAAAUUCAUAGUCUUUGAACUCGUAUUGAUGUAAAUUGAACCCGGUUAUCAUAUGUAGAUUGAAAGUUGUGAAUCAGUAUUGCUUGGAGGAUACGUAACGUCGAAGUUGAACUAGUAAUUUUGAGGUAAGUUGGGGCUUAAUCUCAGUUUACUUCAUUCUUAUUCAGUAUGACUUUAUAAGUGAUAGGAUUACAUGCCUACGUAUAUUACCAUUGUUAUAUGCAUUUGCUGGUGAUGUUUACGUCCAGUUCAGUAUUUAGUUCAACAUUCAUUCAUGCAUUAAUGUGAUCACAUUUAGUAGGGAGAAGUGGCCAACCCCCUCCCCCUAGCGUGAUGUCAUGAUGCCAGGGUAAGCCACCACACGCUCGCAAGUGCCAAUUGUUUGUUGGGGAGAUAGUCCGAGACUCCCCCGUGCGUGUUCUCAGAUACUCAUGUACGCAGGACCACUAUGCGUAAUGACUUUCCAAAAAAGGUAUUUGUAAAAUGCAGUUUCUCUUUCAGAUAUCAGUUGUAUACUCAGUUUCUAUGUUAAGUUUCACUUUCUAGCUCAUUACUUGUUUAUGAAAUUUUGUUUGAUUUAUAUGAUUUCCCGUGUAUCCAUUUCCUUCCAUAUUUUUCCCACAAGGUUUCGCUCCACCUUUUUAGGAGGUAGCUUAUGAGACUUACUAGGUAUCGUUUGGUGGUACUUAGCCCGUUUGAUCCUACUACGUUGUGUGGCAGGUAUUGAGGAUGCUGAUAAUAUGGCACGUGGCUAGAGGAGAUAUUUUAGAUUAAAUUGAUAGACUCUAUUGAUUCAUUCUAGUGGUAUCAGACAUUUCUCAGACUCUUAUUUAUUUUUAGACAUUUGUACUAUUUACGGGGAAUGCUCUGUAUGCUACGUAUUUUAGUUUUUAUCAGAUUCUAGAGGCUCAUGACUUGCUGGGUCAGUAUUAAGAUUUUUAGAUUUAUCGUUCACUUGUCAUUCUAUGAAACAGUUUUAGAAUUGCAACUUGCUAGAACUAUUAUUUAAGAAUAUUACUUUGUUUGUCACUAAGCUGGAAGUUAUGUUACAACUAGCACAGGGUUCGCUCAACGAAUGUUAAGGGUUGAGUGCCAAUCAUGUCCCACCUAGUUUUGGGGGUGUGACACUUUUCGAUACUAGGAUUAUUUUUAAAGCUUGUUUUGACUUAUUUGAGUAAUAUUUGACUAGAUUCGGGUUGUUUGGAGGCUUGUUCUAAAUGGAAGACGGUCUUGGAUUGUCGAUUUAUUCCAGAAGGAGGUAAAUAUCGUGGUUAACUUUGAUUUGAGGGAAUUAGGUCGGAAAUAUCUUAAUUAUUAUGUGCUAAAUAUGUUGGGACGAUGCAUAUACAUGGUGAUGAAUGUAUAUGCGUUUGUCAUAGGUUAAAGCAUGAGGGUAAAAGUAGCUUUAUUCAUGUUCUUGCCAUAUCCUUGUGUUGUUCUCUUAUGUUAUGUUGGAUUGUGAGACUCAUUGAUUUCUUACAUGUUCUUGGCCAUGUUUGGAGCCUCAUUGGAUAUAUGAGCGAGAUAACUCUUGAAAUAUUGAAAUGCAUAUCAUGUUUAUCCUUUCCUUGGUAUAUUUUUUCUUACUUGUUUUCUCCACUGUAUUCUGUUAUGCUCUUUGUCAUAUUUGUUGUUUGUUGGGUAUUUUCAUGUGGAUUGAUAUUGCGAUUAGAUCGGGUUUCACGCCGCAAUGGUACAUUUGUUGGAUCGGUUUGUUCGUCGUGGAACUCACUUAUUCUUAGAGAAAUGAUGUGUGCUAGCCUUCCCUACCAUUGGCCUAUCUGCUUUCAAAGCUUAUUCUUUAUCAACUACAAAUAGUACAAAGGGAAAGACAAGGCUGCUCCCAGAUCGACAGGGAGAGAAGAAGAAGGUCUCUUCCCAGCUAAGUCCUAUGCUGAGUUGUAAGACUGGCCUCUCUCCUUAGUGGUCUACGAUCGCUAAAGUAUCGGGCAUUUUCGGGGACUAGCCCACUUCUACUCUUUUAUUUUAUUUUUCGAUCACGUUGCAAUGGUAUUAAGAUUGGACUAGGUUGCACGCUGCAAUCGUAUUGAGAUUGGAUCGGGUUGCGUGUCGCAAUAGAUACGAUGGCUUGAGCUUAUUUCUUAUUUGAUGUUUCUCUUCUGUGGUGUUUGUAUCUUAAGGUUAUGAUGUGUUGUUAUUUUUAUAAACCUUAUUAUAUGUUCUCUUCUUUGUACUUAUUCUUUUGUCUGUCUCUCUAUUUUUAUUAUUUUUUGCUUAUUACUUGCACAAAUUUAUAAGUAAGUGUAUUUUCAUAGCCUCUUCACUAUCUCGUCGAGGUUAGACUCGAUACUUAUUGGGUACAUUUGGGUCGAUUAUACUCAUACUAUACUUCUGCACUUCUUGUGCAGCUCCAGGCAUUGGCCCUUGCAGGGUUCAAAGGGUGACUAGUUGGACUUCUGGAGACUCGAGGUAGUGUUGCAGACCCAUUUGCAAGCUCUGGAGUCACCGUCCUUUAAGAUAUUACUAUCAAAUUGUAUCAUACAUUAUUGUACUUCUUUUCUGACAUUGAUUUAGUACUCUUCGUAGCUAAUAUGCUCUAUAACACCAGAUCUUGGGGAGUUAAUUAGAUAGUAUUUGGCAUCGUAUUGUUAUGUUCUAUGGAGCUUUUACCCUUAUUUAUGAUAUUACGCAGUUAUACGUUA